This 515-nucleotide ribosomal RNA is filed under the name uncultured bacterium. RNAcentral's name for it is "bacterial SSU rRNA". It matches the Rfam family "Bacterial small subunit ribosomal RNA", at positions 387 to 896 of the family's 1533-position model. The record is from RNAcentral.
CGGAGCGACACCGCGUGCAGGAUGAAGGCCUUCGGGUUGUAAACUGCUGUCACGCUUUAGGAACGACCGAGUGUUAACAGCACUCGGACUGACCAAGGCGAAAGGAAGCACCGGCUAACUCUGUGCCAGCAGCCGCGGUAAGACAGAGGGUGCAAACGUUGUUCGGAAUUACUGGGCAUAAGGAGCACGUAGGUGGUUCGCUAAGUCACGUGUGAAAUCCCCCGGCUCAACCGGGGAAUUGCGCGUGAUACUGGCGGACUCGAGGCGGGUAGGGGUGAGCGGAACUCCAGGUGGAGCGGUGAAAUGCGUAGAUAUCUGGAGGAACACCGGUGGCGAAAGCGGCUCACUGGACCCGAUCUGACACUGAGGUGCGAAAGCUAGGGUAGCAAACGGGAUUAGAUACCCCGGUAGUCCUAGCCGUAAACGAUGGGCACUGGGCAGGGGGGAUACCUAUGUCCUCUCUGCCGGAGCUAAUGUGUUAAGUGCCCCGCCUGGGGAGUACGCUCGCAAGGGUA